GCCGCCGCCCCAGAAAAGGGUUCUUUUUUCCUAGAAACUACCUCCAAAUAUAGUAACAGGGAAGGGGCAUUCCUAGAAAUUCGGGAGACGUCAGAAAGGGAAGAUUUGUGAAAUUCAGCUUCGCUUCCUGCAGAGGGCUCCUAGCACAGGGGAACAAAAAAAAAAAAUCAAGUGAGCAGUGAAGUGCUUUUCAUGCUUUUCUGAUCAGAUAAUGGUUAAAAAAAGGAGGAUCGGUAAAACACUUAACUCGCAUUUCUCCGAUACGAUCUAGGAGUUUCAUACAGGAAGAAGGCUAAUCAGUAACCCCCUUUCCUCAUUUUCUACUGAUGUUUAUAGAUGCCUAUCUCCUGUAUUUACUUUCCCUGGUGUCCUUGUAUCAGACCUGUGCAAAUAAUAGGAGUAUGUGUAUGAGUGAAAAAUGGGCUGAACGAUAACCCUCCCAUGUAUCACAGGAAGGCUAAUUAAUGUUCGUGUGUCAUUUUAAACAGGCUUUGCGGGCUGCGUCUUUCACGCUACACCGAUGUGAAUAAUUCAUGUUAUUACGGUAGAUGUGUGCAAUAUUGUUACUCGCAUGAAUGGGGAUUUGUAGGUUGGCUUUUACUUAAGGGCCCAGUACUGAGAAUUGCUGAGUGCUGUCUGUCCCCAUUGACUUAAUGGUAUCCUAGGCUGUUAAUUAAUUCUGCUCAGCAAUUCAUAGGAUCAGGCCUUGACUGACAAAUAUAAAUUGGGGCUUGCAGGAGACCCGCACACUGGCAUGAGCCGCUAUUAUUCCUCACAUGUCUUCUAAAUCUGUAUAUUUGCUUUGUGCUUGUGUCUGACAACCAUUCCUUCUUUAGUCAUGUCUUUUAAAAAAAUGCCAGUUGAUAUAUUUCAUACAAAAGAGAAAUUAAUGUUUGCAAAGCAGUAAAUGGAUGAAGAAGUUAUUUAUAUGCUAUUAGUAAUAUAAAGAUGUCAAUGCAUUUGUAACAAAGCAUCAUUUAUCUAGGAAUAGCAAAGGCUGCUAUAAAAAACACAAUAGCCAGCUUUUGGAGAAAGAUGAUAGAUUUCUUUCAAUGUGUGCAACUCUUGCAGGUUAAUUGAAUUUCUGUAAUGAAAUUCCCCACAGCCACAUGAAAUCCUUGGGUUUGUUCUUUGAAUUUCAUUAUGAUUUGCAGAGUCUUCUCUGCCCCCAAAUCAAAUGCAAUAAAAACAUUGGAGUCUGGCUUUACUUCAGUGCUUUAUAAACCCUCACAUUUAAUCAAAACUUAGUUAUACCAAACUUGUCUGUCUGCAGUUCUGAAGGGGAAUUAGCAGAAUUCACCUGGCAAUCCUGUGUGCUUUGACACCUAAGUGUGUUUUAACUGUUAUUGCAGUGCUCAAUAAACAAUUGCUUCAAAAUGUAGAGCCAGCUUUCUGAGAGGUGCACCCACAGUAUUUCAUUGGCAAUAAUGCCUGGUUAGAAGUAGAUUUAUUGUAAGCAAUCACUUGGAAUUCAAAACAACUCUAGUUAAUUGCAAAAAGGCCUUUUUAAGCUGGCUGCCUUACUUAAGACAUGCUGCUCUACUCUGCCUGUCACUCUCAUUUCCUGAGAGAAAAAGUGAAUGGCAGCUCGAAGUUCAGGAUCUUUUGAUCAUUAGAAGAAAUGGAUGUGCUGUCCUCUGUUGGCCAUACCGGUUGUCACAUGUGAAAUUCAAUUAACUCGAAAAGGCAGCAAGAGGCUCUGUUUAAACAACAAAAGUGAUGAAACUAAAUUAAAUUUUCUUCACCUCCUGCUUUCAGCAAUAAGAGUGCACAGUGUGAGGGAUUUCUAAAUAAAAAAAAUGAUGCGAUGAUGGAUACUAGAAGCUGGAUUAAGAAAAGGACUCAUCUCACCUGAUACCACGCUACAGAUUCUGUCCUGGGAUUCGGCCCCAUUGGACGCCGGCUGCUGUUCUAACCACUCGCUGUGGGCCACCUGCCCUGCGGUGCCCAACAUGGUGGGGGACACAAGGAGCUGCAGCUGCCCUCCAGCUCCGGGGCUGCUCCCGGUGGGGGCUGCAGCGCUGCCAUGCCUGUGGUGAGAGAGGAUCUGCCUAGUUAAAUUUUCAGUCACACAGUCCUGUCUGGGGACAGGGCCACGUGUGCCAGUUGGGAUGUUUGUGCGAUGUGAUGGCAGCUCUGCAGCUUCUUGUGGUGCUGGAACUAGGGCAGCUCGGGCUGCGCUGGGUACACGGAAUGCAGGUUCCCUCAGUCCUGCUCGUGGUGUCCUCUGUGAGGUGCCAUGUGCAGAAAUGCUCUGCUCUGUGUUGGGAAGCAGCAGGAAUGUGUCCGCUUUGGGUUCUUGUUUCAAGAACAGUAAGUAGCAACUAGAGAGGAUCCCGGGGGACUUUAGCAAGGAUAAUGAGAGGCGCGAUCAGAGGUGUAGAAAACCCGACCUAAAGGAGAGAUUUUAAAAUUUGGUGAUUGUGUUGUCUAGAAAGGAGAAUGCUGAAGGCAAAUAUAAUAAUGCUUUCAAAAAGGCUUGAUGUUGUGUAAAUGAAUCUAUGACAUGGCAGUAAACCUGUGUGGUAUGUUAAUUAUUUCUACAUCUUGACUGCUACUGGAGCUUGCAGUUUCUGGUCUGCACUAGCUUCUCUUACACUGUGAUUUCAGAGAUAGUUUUCUGAUUAUGAAAUUAAUUUCAAUUAAAUAACCAUAAGACAUGUCUUAAAAUAUUACUUAGCAAAAUUUUUACCAUGCUAAUAAUUUAUCAGUGUUAUUUAGCAAAAUGUAAUUUCUGUCUGCACACUGUGGAGAACCAGGCUCUGUAUUAUCUGAUUUCUGUGUGUGUCCUGCAGCACAGACAGGCCUCAAACCUUUGUUUUGUGGGUGGGUGAGAUGCAACCAUAGCUCUUGUGCAUACCUCGCUUAGUCUUAUGUUGCUGAAAAACAAGCAAGGAUUGACAAAAGCAUUACUCAUCACAGGCAGGGUGGAUCCUCUCCAGGUUUCUACCUGUGGUUGUAGUAACAGCAAGCAGUAUUUAUCAGAUAUGUUUUGUCCUUGAGGCUGAUUUUUAUGUUUAGUUUUGCAAACAUUCUUAUGAAAGCAGCUUCAGGGACACAGCUGCUCCUCACUGUCCUUCAUAUCCAUGAAUACAAGUACCUGAGAGAACAGAAACCAAUUUAGAACAUUUGAGGCUGUUGUUUUGCAUGUGCUCUGUGCUGAAACUGUCACUGCUCAAAAUCAAUAAUUUAUAUUUUUCUUCUCUCUGGGGAGAUUGGGCAGCUUUGUCACAGAUUUCACACUAGAGAUUUCAGGUUCGGAAAUGGGCUGGAUGGUAUGCACUAUGAUUUCUUCUCUGCUGCUGCUUCAUCAAAUUUACAGCAAAUUUGCUUAAGAGCAGUUCUGGAGACCUGUAAAUAUUGACAGUAAGUUAAGUGAAAAAAAAUUUGUAAUUACAUUGUAAUUAAGACAUCCAGAUAAUCUUCAUAACACUAAACCUGUGCAAAGAAAAUGUAGAAUAAAUGGUUACAGCCUUUCUUUAAUUCAAAACACAACUUGAAUGAUGAUUUGGACCUACCAACAGAACGUGCGUAUUUUAUUUUAAAAUAUUUUAGAAAAUAUAGUGUAAAUAAUUAAUGACGGUUAUUAUUGUUCACAUAACAAUAGUACAGUUUUUAUUUUAGGCAACAGUGUGCACAACAUGAGAGGAAGAUUCGUCAGGAAGGAAAAACUGACUCUGUGGACUAAUCAAAGGUCAGUGAUGGUAAGCAAAUAUCAAACAUGAAUCAGUAAAGAUUUCCUUCAGUUUGUAGCACUGUUAUUUACAUUGUUUUGACAGUUUUAAGCACUGUCAGCACUUAACUUCGUGUGCUGGUGUCAGGUCCAUUGCUGUCCCUGAGCUGGACUUCCUGGCUGCCCGUGAUCCCGCUGGACCAGCUGUGUGUGCAGAGCCCGGUCUUUGCUCGUGCUUGGACAUGGGUGAGCAUCAUGCUUUUUUUUUGAACGUGACCAGUCCAGCCCUUCCUUUCCUGUUUUGAACGUGCCAGGGAGGUUUUCUGUUUAUAAGGAUAUAAAAUGUAAAGUGGACACUAACCAGAUUGCAAUUAAUACUUCUAAGUGAUUACUGCUACAGAUGAAGAAACCUCAUGGUUCACUAACCAGAAGGCAGAACUAAAUUAAUAAAUAAUUAAUUUAAUUAGGAGGAGGGGAGGGGCAUGGUAGCUGCAGCCUGUGGAGAACAUCUCUUCAAAUAGAGUUUGCAGAGGCUUCACUUGUUCGUCGCAGGAGCGAAUCCGUGUGGUGGUGGGUGCUGGCACGUGUAGGACACGCGUGGGACACGGCUUCGCAGUUAUCUUGGAGGGAUUCAAGAAUGUUGCAGCAUGAAGUAGUCCUGCAGUACUUGUUCUGUGGAGAAGACUGGAUGCUCAUCUCCAGGCUCAAGGUCUACAAGAAAAAUUACCUGCUCCAACAUCAGUUAUGUCCACGGCACAGCUGGUAUAUGUCGUCAGACACACUUGAAAUCAUAAAGGACAUCUCCAUUCAAAAAAACUGUUUCACUUUUAUUGCAUCAGAUUUGAAGAGAUUUAUACACAAUAACAAACACCUGAUGCAGAAUUUUAAAAGUGGAAGCCAGAAAAAGAUCUCCGCGGCUCUUUGGAUGUUUCUACAAGGUAAUAUUCAACACCAACUCUUCACCUGAACAGAGCCCUCCCUGGGCAAACAACUGAUAACCACGGGGCGUGGGGCUGUGUGACACAGCCAG
Long non-coding RNA from Cuculus canorus (common cuckoo), 4703 nucleotides. RefSeq lists it as uncharacterized. The record is from RefSeq and is a predicted model, not a curated record. NCBI's taxonomy places the organism in Eukaryota, Metazoa, Chordata, Aves, Cuculiformes, Cuculidae. The transcript has 4 exons.